This 309-nucleotide ribosomal RNA is filed under the name Triticum aestivum (bread wheat). RNAcentral's name for it is "partial small subunit ribosomal RNA". The record is from RNAcentral. Lineage: Eukaryota; Viridiplantae; Streptophyta; Magnoliopsida; Poales; Poaceae.
AUGAGCACGAUGGUUGGGUUUUCUACAAGUGCAGCAAGCACUCUGUGCAGCAGAGGACAGGGGGGAGAACUUGAGAGGAAGAGGAGUGAAUCAAUGGAAGGAAGAAGCAUAAGUGGAAGAGGCAUAGCUGGAAGAGGCAUUGCAAGCAGAGUUAAUUUUGGCAGCCCUAGUGAGCAGAACGUUUCUACCAAGCAGCAAGCUACUGUGCUGCUUGGAUUGGGUAGAGAGAUCCUUCUAGUGCUGGAGCUGGUGAUGGCUAGUGUUAUGGUGCUUUAUGUGCCGUGUUUCAUCUUAAUUAUGAACAACUGA